UGGGGAAUAUUGCACAAUGGGCGAAAGCCUGAUGCAGCAACGCCGCGUGAGUGAUGAAGGCCUUCGGGUUGUAAAGCUCUGUCUUUUGGGACGAUAAUGACGGUACCAAAGGAGGAAGCCACGGCUAACUACGUGCCAGCAGCCGCGGUAAUACGUAGGUGGCAAGCGUUGUCCGGAUUUACUGGGCGUAAAGGAUGCGUAGGCGGAUUUUUAAGUGAGAUGUGAAAUACCCGGGCUUAACUUGGGUGCUGCAUUUCAAACUGGGAAUCUAGAGUGCGGGAGAGGAGAAUGGAAUUCCUAGUGUAGCGGUGAAAAUGCGUAGAGAUUAGGAAGAACACCAGUGGCGAAGGCGAUUCUCUGGACCGUAACUGACGCUGAGGCAUGAAAGCGUGGGUAGCAAACAGGAUUAGAUACCCUGGUAGUCCACGCCGUAAACGAUGAGUACUAGGUGUAGGAGGUAUCGACCCCUUCUGUGCCGCAGUUAACACAAUCAAGUACUCCG
This 502-nucleotide ribosomal RNA is filed under the name uncultured bacterium. RNAcentral describes it as "partial 16S ribosomal RNA". It matches the Rfam family "Bacterial small subunit ribosomal RNA", at positions 355 to 871 of the family's 1533-position model. The record is from RNAcentral.